GAUGAACGCUGGCGGCGUGCCUAAUACAUGCAAGUCGAGCGAACGGACGAGGAGCUUGCUUCUCUGAUGUUAGCGGCGGACGGGUGAGUAACACGUGGAUAACCUACCUAUAAGACUGGGAUAACUUCGGGAAACCGGAGCUAAUACCGGAUAAUAUUUUGAACCGCAUGGUUCAAUAGUGAAAGACGGUUUUGCUGUCACUUAUAGAUGGAUCCGCGCUGCAUUAGCUAGUUGGUAAGGUAACGGCUUACCAAGGCAACGAUGCGUAGCCGACCUGAGAGGGUGAUCGGCCACACUGGAACUGAGACACGGUCCAGACUCCUACGGGAGGCAGCAGUAGGGAAUCUUCCGCAAUGGGCGAAAGCCUGACGGAGCAACGCCGCGUGAGUGAUGAAGGUCUUCGGAUCGUAAAACUCUGUUAUUAGGGAAGAACAUAUGUGUAAGUAACUAUGCACGUCUUGACGGUACCUAAUCAGAAAGCCACGGCUAACUACGUG
RNAcentral lists this ribosomal RNA (497 nucleotides) under uncultured bacterium. RNAcentral describes it as "partial 16S ribosomal RNA". It matches the Rfam family "Bacterial small subunit ribosomal RNA", at positions 28 to 507 of the family's 1533-position model. The record is from RNAcentral.